UACGUAGGCAGCAAGCGUUGUUCGGAAUUACUGGGCGUAAAGAGUGUGUAGGCGGUGCUCUAAGUUCGGUGUGAAAUCUCCCGGCUUAACUGGGAGGAUGCGCCGGAAACUGGAGUGCUCGAGCGUGGGAGAGGAAAGCGGAAUUCCUGGUGUAGCGGUGAAAUGCGUAGAUAUCAGGAGGAACACCUGCGGUGUAGACGGCUUUCUGGACCAUUGCUGACGCUGAGACACGAAAGCGUGGGUAGCAAACAGG
This 253-nucleotide ribosomal RNA is filed under the name uncultured bacterium. RNAcentral describes it as "partial 16S ribosomal RNA". It matches the Rfam family "Bacterial small subunit ribosomal RNA", at positions 524 to 776 of the family's 1533-position model. The record is from RNAcentral.